This 549-nucleotide ribosomal RNA is filed under the name uncultured Glomus. RNAcentral describes it as "SSU rRNA". It matches the Rfam family "Eukaryotic small subunit ribosomal RNA", at positions 548 to 1098 of the family's 1831-position model. The record is from RNAcentral. Lineage: Eukaryota; Fungi; Glomeromycota; Glomeromycetes; Glomerales; Glomeraceae.
UUGGAGGGCAAGUCUGGUGCCAGCAGCCGCGGUAAUUCCAGCCCCAAUAGCGUAUAUUAAAGUUGUUGCAGUUAAAAAGCUCGUAGUUGAAUUUCGGGGUUAGUAGGCUGGUCAUGCCACCGGUAUGUACUGGUCUUACUGAUUCCUCCUUCCUGAUGAACUGUAAUGCCAUUAAUUUGGUGUUGCAGGGAAUCUGGACUGUUACUUUGAAAAAAUUAGAGUGUUUAAAGCAGGCUAACGCUUGAAUACAUUAGCAUGGAAUAAUGAAAUAGGACGUUCGAUCCUAUUUUGUUGGUUUCUAGGAUUGACGUAAUGAUUAAUAGGGAUAGUUGGGGGCAUUAGUAUUCAAUUGUCAGAGGUGAAAUUCUUGGAUUUAUUGAAGACUAACUACUGCGAAAGCAUUUGCCAAGGAUGUUUUCAUUAAUCAAGAACGAAAGUUAGGGGAUCGAAGACGAUCAGAUACCGUCGUAGUCUUAACCAUAAACUGUGCCGACUAGGGAUCGGAUGAUGUUAAUUUUUUAAUGACUCAUUCGGCGCCUUACGGGAAAC